This 468-nucleotide ribosomal RNA is filed under the name uncultured bacterium. Its description in RNAcentral is "partial 16S ribosomal RNA". It matches the Rfam family "Bacterial small subunit ribosomal RNA", at positions 28 to 507 of the family's 1533-position model. The record is from RNAcentral.
GAUGAACGCUGGCGGCGUGCUUAACACAUGCAAGUCGAACGGAAAGGCCCUGCUUUUGUGGGGCGCUCGAGUGGCGAACGGGUGAGUAACACGCGAGUAACCUGCCCUUGACUUUGUGAUAACUCCAGGAAACUGGGGCGAAUAUCGGAUAGGAGCUUCUGCUCCGUGGUGUGGGUUGGAAAGUUUCGGCGGUUGGGGAUGGACUCGCGGCUUAUCAGCUAGUUGGUGGGGUAGUGGAUGACCAAGGUUUUGACGGGUAGGCGGCAUGGGAGCGGGAACGGCGUCAAUAGGCCUACGGUAGGGCGCAGUCGGGAACGGGAGGCAAGGGUCGAAAACCUUGCGCAGCGGGGCCACGUGUGUGACGAAGGCGUCCGGGGCGGAAUGACGUCCUUCAGGGUGUGAACCGCUGUCGACUGAGACGAGGCGUGAGUGACGGUACUUGAUGAAGAAGCACCGGCUAACUACGUG